Molecule: long non-coding RNA, 5051 nt
Organism: Setaria italica (foxtail millet)
Lineage: Eukaryota; Viridiplantae; Streptophyta; Magnoliopsida; Poales; Poaceae
Exons: 4
Source: RefSeq, a predicted model, not a curated record
CUUAUCCACUCACGCACACACCAUUGCUGUCGUCCUCCAUCCCUCCCUGAAUCAACUAGCUUCGAGCACGGAGGCCCCAAGGGUCAAAGAACCAUGGACGGACAAAGAACCAUGGACGGACGCCCGGAGGUCAGCGGCCCGGCAACCGGCAUCAAGGGGUGAGCACUGGACCUCUUCGAGCACGCCGAACCCGUUCUCCUUCGCCAUCCAAAGCUCCGCUCUCAAACCAAGAGAAAUGAAGUUCUCUCUUUUUGGGCAGAGUCCUUUUUCUCUAUUUUUUUUUCUAGAUUUGGAGUUCGAUUCUUUGAAUUUCUCAAAGGAUUCGUUCAGUGAUUGCUCAAGUUGAUGCUCGAUUUCAUUUUUAAUAUUUUUGUCUUUCUUUAUUUCCUCUUGUUGCUCAAACCUCAAAUGAAGCUGUGUGAAGAGGAAGAAGAGCACAUGAGGUAAGCUUGAUUAGCGCAUGAGUGCGCGAGCGAGCGUUGCAGGAAAAAUUUCCCUGAGCUCGGAGCACAUUUUUCCUUUCCUCCAAAAGUACAGCCUUUCUGACCGUUCCUCUGGAAAGUCUAUCGUCGAUUCCUUUGUCCCAAACGCGUUACUCGCUUCCCUUUCCUCCGGAACCGAAGCGUCCAUUUUUCCUACGUUUUUCCUCCGUUCCGCCUCAGUGUUCGGAGUAAGCCACUGGCCGUGGGCCGAUGACAAACCUGCAGAGCGUUUGCUGGAGGAGUCAAGGAGAUGGUGGGCCGCGGGUAUAAUAGAGAGAAGAAAGGCAAACAUGUCACAGUGUAAAAGUUUCAUUCGCCCCUUCAUCUUUUUCCGUGGGCGGCGAGGCGGUGGCGCCAGGGGAUCUCCGAGGCUCAUCCCCGAGGGGCGGCGAGGCAGCAGCGCUAGGGGAUCUCUGAGGUUCAUUCCGUGGGCGGCGAGACGGUGGUGUGAGCGAUGGUGCCAAGCCAUCUCCAAGUUCAUCCAAAUCCCUUCAACUGUGUGUGGUGUUGGAGAUUUCAAUUCUCGUCCAGCUCGAUGGGGUUGCGGGCUGUUGUGACUGGCGUGAGGCUAGGUCUAGGGCGGAAUGCUGUCCGAAGGUGUGUAGUCAGAGGCCUAGGCUCAAUGCAGCUCCAGUCCAAAAGAUUUUAGAUGAAAGGAGGGCUCUAAGGACCAAAGAUGAUGUUGAAGCUGGUUCAUCUAAGAAGAAGAUGUGAUUGCGGUAUGUGGUUCUAUCCCCCUCAACAUAUGGUGCUAGUGCACUUAUCUAUCUUUUAUAGUGCUUCAUAUAUUUGAUAAAUAUGACUUACAUUAUGUUGUGACAAAUCUGACAGUAACCUAUUAGGCAUAAAUUUUGCUAUAUCUAAAUGUAGUUUUCUAUGAUGUUUGAAUUUUAGAAUUUAAGGUGGUUCGUUUUCGUAUGAUCACAAACUUGCUAUGAUCUCAAAUUUAAGGUGGUUCAUUUUAAGUUUGCUAUGAUCACAAACUUGCAAAGGAAAUAGUAUAUGCUCCUAUUUGAAUAUCCAUAGCUCAUAAAUUGAUGAUUGCUACUAGGGUUUAGAUUUUCCAUGUUGCUAGUGCUACUACUUAUUAUUUAAAGUUCAUUUUAGACUUAUUAUGUUUGUUGUCAUGUAUCUAUUUUUUCUAAGUCUAUGUGAACUCCUGCCUCUCAGUUUUACCCUUAUUAUAUUAUAUUUUAUCUAAUAUUUAAAUGGGUCACCUGGUAUGAAUCUGAUAUAUGUGCGAAAACCAGUCGUUUUUGUUCCUAUUCAGGAAUGUAAGAGUUUUUUAGAAUUUAUAUUUUGUUGUCACUAUAAUUACUUUGUUUAUUGCAUUGUAUCAUAUGCAACAUUGAGGUGUAAAUUUCAUGGGGAUGUACGACUUUAGGUGUUGCCUCUUUGUAUUUGGGGAAAUUUGUGGCAUAUGAGCAAUCUGUAUUUAGGUGUUUUCGUGACUACCCAAAUAAAGCUGGUUAUUUGCAUUCCAUAGGAAAGAAAUCUGAGUUAUUUGAGAAAUCUGUAUAUAGCUUUUGGGUUUUAGGAUAUUUGUUAAAUCUUUAUUUGUUUGGGGGUUCCAGUGACAACCCAAAUUCCUUCGAACAAAUAUGAGUCAUUUUUAGGAAUUUGGGACAUUUGAUCAUUCUGUCUCAGGGGGUUUUAGUAAGAAGCCAAAAUAAAUCUGAUUAUCUGCAUUCCUUAGAAAACAAAUAUAAGUUAUUUGAAAAAUCUGCAUAUGGUUUUCGGAAAUUUUGGAUAUUUGUUUAAUCUAUAUUUGGGAGUUUCAUUGACAACCCAAAUUAAUUUGUUUAUCUGCAUUCCUUAGAAAAAAAUUUGAGUCAUUUGUGUAAUCUGCAUAUGGUUUUUGGAAAUUUGGAACAUUUUGUUUCAUAACUUGUAGGAUAUAAUGGAGUAAUAUACUUGAGGUGUUAAAUAAUUAUCUUUUUAUCUAAUGUAGUACUCUAUUAUAUUCUUAGCCAAAAAUUCCAGUCCUAGCAUUUUCUAUCUCUAUCAUAUUUUUCUAUCUGAAGAAUCUGCAGGUUGCCAUUGUUUUUACAUUUAUCUUAAGCUGAUAAUUCUAGUUACCUUAGGUAGUUGCAUAUUAUGUUUGUUUGCACAAGUUACUUCAUUUGGUUUCUUUGGAAUUUGUAUAUGUUUGUCCUCUUUUAUAUUUUUUAUUAUACAGAAGAAUUAGUGCACUUGAACUUUUAGUUCUUUGUUUUUAUUCAAUGCAGUUGCAGCUUCUGGUUGUUCUAUCUCUUGCUUGAGUCUAGUUUUGUGCUUUUGUAUUCAGUGACUUGGAUAGGUUAAAUUAGCAAUAGUAGCAAGUUUGAUCUGAGCACUGAUAAUUGCACGUUGAUUUUUGCUACUGAUUAUACCUUUUUGCUCAAUUCAUGUAUUUUGUUGCUAAUCUAGUAAUAAGUUUAUUUAGAUUAUACAUAUUUUGCUUUAGAUCAUAUAGAUUCUACUGAAUGCAGCAUGUUUGAUACUAUUGUAUGCAGUAUGUUUCAUCAUACAGUAUGUUUCUGAUUUUAUUUUGGUACAUUUUGAUUCAGGUAAGUUGUAGCUUGUCUUUGUUCUGUUUCAUGAUUGGGUCUAGUUGUAUGUUUCAUAUUCAAUAUCUUUGAUUGGUUAAAAUAGCAACAACAACAAAUUUAAUUUGUCUCUUGCUACUGAUUACAUCUUUUUGCACUAUUUAUUUUGCUCUGUACCGACAUCUAAAUACCCAUCCUAUUUCUUUCUCUGUUAGUAUCUUCAACAAUAAUUCUUCUUCAGAUAUUUUAGCAACUGGAUUGAAUUCUGUUCAUUAUAGCAUUGAUUCAAUUCAGUUUAUUAUCUAUCGAUAUAUGUUUGUCUUUGUGUUUUAUUGAGUUUUCAUUGAACAAUUAGCCUUUUGGUUUAUCACUAUCAGUGUGACCAUCACUAUCUAGCCUAAUUCAUUGAUGAUCUUGCACAUAUGAAGUUGCUCAUUUAUAUCUUACAUUACUUUCUUUGUAUUUUUAUUAUAGGCAGUUGGAUGUAAUUUUUUCAUUCCGCAUAUGUAAUUUUUCUGUUUGUUGAAUUCUUUGUAUAUAUGGUAUUUUUUUUGCUUGAUCUGAUUUCAUUUGUGUGGCCUGGUUGAUUUGUUUUCAUAUGCAGAUGUGUAUAUUUUGCCCUUUAAUUCUAUGUGUAUUAAAUUUGGUUGAGAAGUUUUUGUCUCUAAUUUUGUGUGUAUUAAAUUUGGGUGAGCAAUAUACUUGUUUCACUCAAAAAUUAGUAUGCAGAUUCUUUGGCUGACUGUGUGAGGGCAGCAAACAAAUCACUCAAAUCUUAUUUCGUCAUAGAUUUAGGUGAUUUGUCUAGCCAAAUCACCUAGGUGAUGAGAGCCCUCAAAUCACCUGAGUGAUGGAUAGACAGACCCAAUAUAUAAUGUUGUUGGAAAUAAAGUACAAGUGAUUGGAGGAUGAUCACCUGUGCCUAAUAGACAAAACUCAAAGGGCACCAUAUUUAUCAUGGUUCCAAUGCUGGGGAUGGGAACAGGAAGGCUGGCUGGCUUCUUCAAGCAAAUGAGCUAGUUGACUAAUAAAGCGAAAUUAUCCAAUUUGAGUAGAAUUACACAGUAACUUUGUUCCGCCAAAAAUAAUCUCAAGAUGUAGCUUAUGAGGAUCAUUUGAGAAGUGAGUUCUGAAGCACCGCUUGUAGGGAAUGUUUGGUUUAUGCCCAACUCAACCUUACCACAUUUUGGUGAUGACCAAAUCCAUGGCAUAGUCAAAAAAUUGAUGUAGUGGUGUUUGGAUUGUUGCCAUGCUAAUUGUUGCCAAAUAUUUUUUGAUUAUGUAUAUGACAUGUGGGUCCAAUGUGUCAAUCAUUAUUUAAUUAUUAAAAUAUAUUCACAAUGGACCUAGAUUUGUAGAGUUAAUUAUAACGAAUUCAAUGGUUCUAACGAAUUUACAAUCCGACUUAAGGCUUAGGAGAAACAACAUUUUGAAUGUUGUUAACCAAAGAAUCAUAGAGUCGCGUGCAACCAAUGAUGUGUUGAUACCUCAGCAAUUUCAAUGGCAGCAGCGCUGGCAAAUUUUGGCAAGGGUUUCCUCGCCCAUGUUUUUACCCAUGCCCAUGUAACUUUUGUACUAGACUUGCCAAAUCUCCUUUGGCUUUCCAAUUGUUGCCGGGGACGAAGCCAAAGGAGGGCUGGUAGGGGCCACGCCCUCCCCUCCCCUCUCAAGUUUUGAUUAGGAUACUAUAGUUUGUAUACAUGUAGUAAUUAAGUUAGAUAAACUUUUAGCAAUUAAGUAUUGAGAUGAAGUAGUACUUAAUUUCAAAACAAAUGUAGUUGUUUGGGCAAGCUAAUAAGUUGUCAAGUGUGUCCAUGGCUUGAUUUAGUUUUACCAAUAAUACUUCAAGCUAGUAAUUGGACUUCACAAUUAUUCAACAUUUUAUCCAUUUUUAUAUAUUUAGUACUUCUUUAACAACUUUAUUCUAUGCAUCUAGUUUUAAGCUUUUAACAUAUCACACUCUCAAGCGUCUUGGUGCACAUGUGUGCCAAAAUGUGGUUUGAGCACAAUCGCUAUGUGCUUACACUACUGGGGAAAGUGC